This 2975-nucleotide long non-coding RNA is filed under the name Malus domestica (apple). RNAcentral's name for it is "long non-coding RNA (MDOM_LNC004311)". The record is from RNAcentral. Lineage: Eukaryota; Viridiplantae; Streptophyta; Magnoliopsida; Rosales; Rosaceae.
AUCUCUCUCUCCCCCUCCUCUUGUUUCUGUCCCCAUCUCGUCCCUUCUGUGUUUUGGUGUUGAAUUUCAACUCCCCCGCUUUCAGAUUCUCCCUCUCCUCUCUCUCUCUCUCUCUCUCUCUCUCUCUCUAGAAGUGAAAAAGGUUUCUUUUUAAUAUCACCUCUGUAAUUUGGAAGCAAACCGUGUCACAGAUCGAAAGCCACCGAGUUUUCUUCUCAAGAAAGCCAAUUUCUUAGACGACUCAGUCUCUCUCUCUCUCUCUGUCUCUGUACAUUUCUCUCUCUCUCAAGAAAAGAAUCAUUCAUUGCUCACAAACAGAACCCUUUUUUUUUUUUAAUUUUUUAAAAUUUAAUUUAAAUUUAUUUAAUUUCUCAUCCAUUUUUAUAUUCACCCUUCUAUAUUUCUCUCUCUACCUCUCUGUCUGUCAAGCCGUGUUUUUUAUUCAUUGUUUAAUGUGGGGGUUUUGUUUCUUGUAGUGGGUGCCUGAGAAGAGAGAGAGGAAGGAGGAAGGAGGAAGGAGGAAGGAGGAAGGAGGCAAAGCUUUGUUCUUGGGGGGGGGUUUUUGAGUGAUGAGAAAGGCAGAGGAAAUGGUCCUCUGAAGUGGGUCUGUCUCUCUCUUUCCUCUCUUUCUCUCUCUUAUCUAUUUGGAGAGGGAUUGAAGGCUCUCAGAUUGUGUAGUGUGAGUGAGGGCUAUCAGCUAUGGAUACCAAAGGAAGACUUAUUGCAGGUUCUCACAAUAGGAAUGAGUUUGUUCUCAUCAAUGCUGAUGAGGUUUCAAGAGUAAGUCCUUUUCUCUCUCUCUCCCUUCCCCACUCAACCUCUCAAUUUCUGCUACUGCAAAAUGUUAACAGCCUUCCAAAUCUGUACACUUCUACAUUUUGCAGAUGCCCUUUUCCUCAUACUCUCUCUCUCUCACCCUACAUUUGUUAGAUCCUGAAAUUCUACUGGGUUUCUGUUAUUUUCUACCUCUUGAUAGUUAUUUGAAGCAAAAUUACUCUUUCAUCUGAGAUUUACAAGCCGCAAUUACAUAAAUUGGUUGAGGGUUUUUCAGUAUAUAUGGAUUUAAGGGGUCUCCAUUCUAUAAAGCCUGCAAUUUUGUUUCUGAACAGUUAAUUUUGUCGCAAAUCAGCUAGCAGUUGGGGUUUUAGGAUCUAUUGCCCUCUUGGUUUUUGUUGUUUUGUUAAUUGUUUAAUCUUCCUGAUCUGACAUAGAUUGGUAACGUUUUGGAACUUUACGAAUUGCAGGUAACAUCUGUUAAAGAACUGAGUGGGCAGAUUUGCCAGAUCUGUGGAGAUGAGAUUGAGAUUACAGUGGAUGGGGAGCCAUUUGUUGCUUGCAAUGAAUGUGCAUUCCCCGUUUGUAGAUCUUGCUACGAGUACGAAAGACGCGAGGGCAAUCAAGCUUGCCCCCAAUGCAAAACCCGAUACAAGCGCAUCAAAGGUGAGUCUUUCCCCUUUUUCCGCAAUAUUAAUUCCGAGCAUUCAUGAUGAUUCUCGAAAAAGGAAUACUGAAGAUGCAUCUUUUUGAUAGGGAGUCCAAGAGUUGAAGGCGACGAAGAAGAGGAUGACAUUGAUGAUUUGGAGAAUGAGUUUGAUAUUGCAAGCAAUGAGAGGAGAGAUCCUCACAGCAUUGCUGAGGCAGUGCUGGCUGCUCGCCUUAACAUUGGACGGGGUUCCCACGUCAAUGGUUCAGGGAUUAGCACACCAGCUGAAUUCGACUCUGCCUCCGUUGCUUCCGAGAUCCCUCUGCUGACGUAUGGCCAAGAGGUGAAUUGGUUUAACUGCUUCAUGUUCUCUUUGUCAGCAAUUGCAUUAAUUUAUUUGUGUUUGACAAGUUGAAUUUUUUUUUUUUGGUGAAGGAUGUUGGAAUUGCCUCUGAUAAGCAUGCUCUUAUUGUUCCUCCAUUUAUGAGUCGCGGAAAACGAGUUCAUCCAAUGCCAUCUUCUGAUUCCUCUAUGUCCUGUAAGUUCAUUAAAUUCGCAACAAUUUUUGUGGCAGUUGAAUAUGCUUUAAUCGUUCUUAGAGUGUGAUCGAGUGAUUGUGGCCUUGAUGAUGCAGUUCCACCGAGGCCCAUGGAUCCUAAGAAAGACUUAGCUGUGUAUGGUUAUGGAACUGUUGCAUGGAAGGAGAGAAUGGAGGACUGGAAGAAGAAGCAAAAUGAAAAACUUCAGGUGGUGAAGCACCAAGGAGGAAAUAAUGGUGGAGAUAAUAACGGAGAGCCGGAUGAUCCUGAUUUACCAAAGUAGGUGUUCAUUUAGAAUACGUUGAUAUUCCUGUGACUAUCCUGUUAUUUUAUUCAUAAAGUUAAAUGUGAAAUGAUUAUAUGCAUUAGAUUCAGUUUUGAUUUGUUAUUAUGAUUUAGAUCCUAUUGUGUGAAAUUGUAUUAUUUAGGUGUUAGAGAUUGGUUAUGUGUUUUAUUAGUUUACUAUUUUUGUAUUUAUCCUGUUUAAAUCAAUUGGGGAGAGAAGAAUAUGUUGUUACUUGAUAUGAAUCAAAACGGAGGGUUUAGAAUAUAAUUGGUUAAUCAUUGGUAGGUAUCGGAAAAAAGUUUUUGAUGAAAACAACUUACUGUCAUGCAUGUUAGUGGAGAAUCCAAGUGGUGCAAUAUUACUGUCAUGCAUGUUAUAAUUAUGUUUGAACCAAAGAAGGCUGAUGAUUUUACUAUCUGUUUUUGCAGGAUGGAUGAAGGCAGGCAGCCGCUUUCGAGGAAGUUGCCUAUUUCUUCGAGCAAGAUAAAUCCUUAUAGGAUGGUAAUCUUACUCCGUCUUACAGUUCUUGGCCUCUUUUUUCACUAUAGAAUUCUCCACCCGGUCAACAAUGCCUAUGGACUCUGGUUAACUUCUAUAAUAUGUGAGAUUUGGUUUGCCAUGUCAUGGAUAUUGGAUCAGUUUCCUAAGUGGUAUCCAAUUGAGAGAGAAACAUACCUUGAUCGAUUAUCACUGAGGUAGCCACCUCUCUCUCUCUCUCUCUCUCUCG